RNAcentral lists this ribosomal RNA (253 nucleotides) under uncultured bacterium. RNAcentral's name for it is "partial 16S ribosomal RNA". It matches the Rfam family "Bacterial small subunit ribosomal RNA", at positions 524 to 776 of the family's 1533-position model. The record is from RNAcentral.
GACGAGCCUCACGAACGUUAUUCGGAAUUACUGGGCUUAAAGAGUUCGUAGGCGGCGCAGAAAGUGGGGUGUGAAAGCCCUCGGCUCAACCGAGGAAUUGCGCUCCAAACUACUGUGCUAGAGGAAGCUAGAGGUGAGCAGAACAGAUGGUGGAGCGGUGAAAUGCGUUGAUAUCAUCUGGAAUACCGGAGGCGAAGGCGGCUCACUGGGGCUUUUCUGACGCUGAGGAACGAAAGCCAGGGUAGCGAACGGG